UGUGAGCGAGUGAGGGCGUGGGCCUGAGAGCGUCCGCGGGACUGUGCGACUGUCGCUGCCCCGCCUUCCCCGCCCCCUCUCCAUUCCCCCUUCUCUGCCCCCCUUUGCCACACUCCUUAGACAGGGACGGGCGACCUAGAACGAGGUUCCCAUACCGUCUUUUGAAAAGCAAAACUUGGUCUCUGUUUUGCCUUUUGUUUUAUUGUUUUUAGCUUUAAAGAGUAAGAGCAGCGCACCCGGCUCCCUCCUGCUAAUUAGACUUCAGAUCCCUCUCUGGCCUCAGUGCUCAUUCUGGGGAAGACACCUGCUGAGAUGUCUUUUUCCCCCUCCCUCAACCAAACCACUUAGGUCCUGCCUGCUCUUUCCCGGCUGGAUGCGAGCGUGUUUUCCUGUAUGUAUUUUUUCAUGCGGCCACAAACAGCAUCAGCUGGGGUUCCCGAAGGUCAGAAAAUGGCUAUUGAUUAAUCUAUUAGAAUAGUUGCCGAGAGAAAUAAAAACGACGUAAAAUAACAGGGACCCUAUAAAUAAAGAAGCCAUAACUGGCUACUUGGAGUUGUUGAACGACUUAGCAUAUGAAAAAAUCGGAAAUGAGGCGCUGGGGAAGGAGCCGGCAUUGGCAGCGGCCCGGGUGUAGACAAAUCCUCCCAAGAUUUAACUUCCAAGGAAACCAGCGGCGGAGCGGUUGGAGGAGGCGAGGAUGUGUGGCCAGCGCACGCGGAGUGCAAGGCAAGUUGCACCGGCCCUAAAACGCAUCUCAGAGUUGAUUUCUGUAGCUUCACAGCUUUGUGGCCCGCAGGCUUCGAACCGUUUACCGUGCCGUCUAGACAGCCUUCCGCGAAACCGACCCGGGCUGAGCUGGCUGGCCACCGCCCGGAACUGCAGAGUUCGCGGUUGCAACUGCCUCAGCAACCGAAGGAGGGUCGGAAGGUCCAAAAAAAAAAAAAAAAAGAAAAUCCUGAAAUUUACACAUUCAGGAACUUCCUGUGCUCUGCUUGGGUUGCCCAGCCCUAGAGGCAGGGGCGCGGGGCGCAGCGCUGGCCCUGCCGCGGCCUUGGUGGCUUGGCCCGCGUGGACAAGUAAGUGUGG
RNAcentral lists this long non-coding RNA (1086 nucleotides) under Cercocebus atys (sooty mangabey). Its description in RNAcentral is "lncRNA (ENSCATG00000045802.1)". The record is from RNAcentral. Lineage: Eukaryota; Metazoa; Chordata; Mammalia; Primates; Cercopithecidae.